GUAGGGAAUAUUGGGCAAUGGAUGCAAGUCUGACCCAGCCAUCCCGCGUGCCGGAAGAAGGCCCUCAGGGUUGUAAACGGCUUUUGACGGUGAAGAAUCGACAGGAUGCGUCCUGUUUUGACGGUAGCCGUUGAAUAAGCACCGGCUAACUCCGUGCCAGCAGCCGCGGUAAUACGGAGGGUGCGAGCGUUGUCCGGAUUUAUUGGGUUUAAAGGGUGCGUAGGCUGGAAGGUCAGUCAGCGGUGAAAAGCUGUCGCUUAACGAUAGUCGUGCCGCAGAUACUGCAUUUCUUGGAUGAGGAGGAGGCCACUGGAACGGAUGGUGUAGCGGUGAAAUGCAUAGAUAUCAUCCAGAACACAGAUUACGAAGGCAGGUGGCUGUACCUUAAUCGACGCUGAUGCACGAAAGCAUGGGGAGCAAACAGGAUUAGAAACCCCGGUAGUCC
This 445-nucleotide ribosomal RNA is filed under the name uncultured bacterium. Its description in RNAcentral is "partial 16S ribosomal RNA". It matches the Rfam family "Bacterial small subunit ribosomal RNA", at positions 354 to 796 of the family's 1533-position model. The record is from RNAcentral.